GUAAAGGGAAAAACUGAGGUUAAAGUGUUUAUGAAUCAAGUUAAUCAGGUGAAAGGUUUAAAAAGCGGAGGAAGGGCUGCUCGCUGCGACGGACAGUUAGAUGAGGAAGUCAAGGAGCCGCGCCUCACGUUGAGUGUCACGUGUUUUCGGGGAAAAGGAAGGCGCGCAUACACACACACACACACACACACACACACACACACACACACACACACACACACACACACACACACACACACACACACACACACACACACACACACACACACACACACACACAA
Molecule: long non-coding RNA, 281 nt
Organism: Gadus macrocephalus (Pacific cod)
Lineage: Eukaryota; Metazoa; Chordata; Actinopteri; Gadiformes; Gadidae
Exons: 2
Source: RefSeq, a predicted model, not a curated record